GAAGAUGUGGAUAUUCAAGAGAAGGUCACGGCGAGACGAGUCGUUUAUCAUUACGAUAGGUGUCAAGUGGAAGUGCAGUGAUGUAUGCAUUGGUGUUCUUUCUUAUCUCUACACAUUUCACCGCUCCACCGAAAAUUUCCUCUGCCCCUACAGUACUCCAACUUGAUAGUUUCCACCUCCUGUCCAAGGUUGAGCCCUGGGAUUUGACGACGGACUUAAAAAGCCACCUACAGACGCCUUACGCCCAAUUAACCCCACAAAUUUUCAUGAUAAUUGUUGAC
This 281-nucleotide long non-coding RNA is filed under the name Olea europaea subsp. europaea. Lineage: Eukaryota; Viridiplantae; Streptophyta; Magnoliopsida; Lamiales; Oleaceae. The record is from RNAcentral.